GACGAACGCUGGCGGCGUGCCUAAUACAUGCAAGUCGAACGCACUCUCGUUUAGAUUGAAGGAGCUUGCUCCUGAUUGAUAAACAUUUGAGUGAGUGGCGGACGGGUGAGUAACACGUGGGUAACCUGCCCUAAAGUGGGGGAUAACAUUUGGAAACAGAUGCUAAUACCGCAUAAAACCUAACACCGCAUGGUGUAGGGUUGAAAGAUGGUUUCGGCUAUCACUUUAGGAUGGACCCGCGGUGCAUUAGUUAGUUGGUGAGGUAAAGGCUCACCAAGACCGUGAUGCAUAGCCGACCUGAGAGGGUAAUCGGGCCACACUGGGACUGAGACACGGCCCAGACUCCUACGGGAGGCAGCAGUAGGGAAUCUUCCACAAUGGACGAAAGUACUGAUGGAGCAACGCCGCGUGAGUGAAGAAGGUUUCGGAUCGUAAAACUCUAGUUGUUGGAGAAGAAUGUAUCUGAUAGUAACUGAUCAGGUAGUGACGGUAUCC
This 495-nucleotide ribosomal RNA is filed under the name uncultured bacterium. Its description in RNAcentral is "bacterial SSU rRNA". It matches the Rfam family "Bacterial small subunit ribosomal RNA", at positions 28 to 480 of the family's 1533-position model. The record is from RNAcentral.